This 253-nucleotide ribosomal RNA is filed under the name uncultured bacterium. RNAcentral describes it as "partial 16S ribosomal RNA". It matches the Rfam family "Bacterial small subunit ribosomal RNA", at positions 524 to 776 of the family's 1533-position model. The record is from RNAcentral.
UACGGGGGGGGCAAGCGUUGUUCGGAAUUACUGGGCGUAAAGGGCUCGUAGGCGGCCAACUAAGUCAGACGUGAAAUCCCUCGGCUUAACCGGGGAACUGCGUCUGAUACUGGAUGGCUUGAGUGUGGGAGAGGGAUGCGGAAUUCCAGGUGUAGCGGUGAAAUGCGUAGAUAUCUGGAGGAACACCGGUGGCGAAGGCGGCAUCCUGGACCACGACUGACGCUGAGGCGCGAAAGCUAGGGGAGCAAACGGG